RNAcentral lists this unclassified non-coding RNA (375 nucleotides) under soil metagenome. Its description in RNAcentral is "partial contains 5.8S ribosomal RNA, internal transcribed spacer 2, and large subunit ribosomal RNA". The stretch from base 1 to 120 matches the Rfam family "5.8S ribosomal RNA", at positions 35 to 154 of the family's 154-position model. The record is from RNAcentral.
GAUGAAGAACGUAGCGAAAUGUGAUAAGUAAUGUGAAUUGCAGAAUUCAGUGAACCAUCGAAUCUUUGAACGCACAUUGCGCCCGGCAGUAAUCUGCCGGGCAUGCCUGUCCGAGCGUCAUUUCUCCCCUCGAGCGCAGCUUUCCCCCCCGGGGGAGGGCCGCGCCCGGUGUUGGGGCGCUACGGAGGAGCCCAGCGCUCCCCCGUAGGCCCCGAAAUGUAGUGGCGGUCCCGCCGCGGCGCCCCCUGCGUAGUAGUUUUACAACUCGCAUCGGGUCCCGGCGGAGGCCAGCCGUCAAACCCCCCAACUUCAAUAGUUUGACCUCGGAUCAGGUAGGGUUACCCGCUGAACUUAAGCAUAUCAAUAAGCGGAGGA